Molecule: ribosomal RNA, 253 nt
Filed under: uncultured bacterium
Lineage: Bacteria
Description: partial 16S ribosomal RNA
Rfam family: Bacterial small subunit ribosomal RNA
Source: RNAcentral
UACGUAGGUGGCGAGCGUUAUCCGGAAUUAUUGGGCGUAAAGCGCGCGCAGGCGGUUCCUUAAUUCUGAUGUGAAAGCCCACGGCUCAACCGUGGAGGGUCAUUGGAAACUGGGGAACUUGAGUGCAGAAGAGAAGAGCGGAAUUCCACGUGUAGCGGUGAAAUGCGUAGAGAUGUGGAGGAACACCAGUGGCGAAGGCGGCUCUUUGGUCUGUAACUGACGCUGAGGCGCGAAAGCGUGGGGAGCAAACAGG